UGAGCCAUGGAGACUGAAGCUUCUCUUUAUCCAGACAGCAGAUACAGCAUAGGUACCAGCAGUGAAAGACUUCCCACAAUGCCUUCCCAAUGUGCCUCAGCAUUGUUGCCUCUUCAUUAAGUAUUGCUUCUCCCUUCUGCCCAGCAAUAGCCAAU
Molecule: unclassified non-coding RNA, 155 nt
Organism: Chelonoidis abingdonii (Abingdon island giant tortoise)
Lineage: Eukaryota; Metazoa; Chordata; Testudines; Testudinidae
Source: Ensembl